GAGUGAACGCUGGCGGUAGGCCUAACACAUGCAAGUCGAACGGCAGCACAGUAAGAGCUUGCUCUUACGGGUGGUGAGUGGCGGACGGGUGAGGAAUACAUCGGAAUCUACUUUUUCGUGGGGGAUAACGUAGGGAAACUUACGCUAAUACCGCAUACGACCUACGGGUGAAAGCAGGGGAUCUUCGGACCUUGCGCGAUUGAAUGAGCCGAUGUCGGAUUAGCUAGUUGGCGGGGUAAAGGCCCACCAAGGCGACGAUCCGUAGCUGGUCUGAGAGGAUGAUCAGCCACACUGGAACUGAGACACGGUCCAGACUCCUACGGGAGGCAGCAGUGGGGAAUAUUGGACAAUGGGCGCAAGCCUGAUCCAGCCAUACCGCGUGGGUGAAGAAGGCCUUCGGGUUGUAAAGCCCUUUUGUUGGGAAAGAAAAGCAGCAGGUUAAUACCCCGCUGUUCUGACGGUACCCAAAGAAUAAGCACCGGCUAACUUCGUG
This 493-nucleotide ribosomal RNA is filed under the name uncultured bacterium. RNAcentral describes it as "partial 16S ribosomal RNA". It matches the Rfam family "Bacterial small subunit ribosomal RNA", at positions 27 to 507 of the family's 1533-position model. The record is from RNAcentral.